CCUUACCCUCAGGAGAAGCAAAACUUCGGAAGACACUCAAGAGAAGAAGGAAAGGAGAACUCCUUCGGACGAUGAAGAGGAUAACUUAUUCGCACCCCCCAAGCUGACCGACGAGGACUUCUCGCCAUUUGGCUCUGGAGGUGGCCUGUUCAGUGGGGGCAAGGGGCUCUUUGAUGAUGAGGACGAGGAGAGUGACCUCUUCACGGAAGCCCCCCAGGAUCGGCAAGCUGGAGCCUCUGUUAAGGAGGAGUCUUCAUCAUCCAAACCUGGAAAGAAAAUCCUAGCAGGAGCUGUUUCUGUAUUUUUAGGAGACACGGAUGUGCUGCCUCCGUUCCAUCACUGAAGGAGCCACAGAAGCCUGAGCAGCCCACUCCAAGGAAAAGCCCCUAUGGUCCCCCUCCCACUGGCCUGUUUGAUGAUGAUGAUGGUGAUGAUGAUAACGACUUUUUC
Molecule: long non-coding RNA, 450 nt
Filed under: Homo sapiens (human)
Lineage: Eukaryota; Metazoa; Chordata; Mammalia; Primates; Hominidae
Description: non-protein coding lnc-ZFAND4-2:4
Source: RNAcentral